Molecule: long non-coding RNA, 396 nt
Filed under: Ananas comosus (pineapple)
Lineage: Eukaryota; Viridiplantae; Streptophyta; Magnoliopsida; Poales; Bromeliaceae
Description: long non-coding RNA (ACOM_LNC007829)
Source: RNAcentral
GUAUCAUAUUUCAUUGACAAUUAUAAGUUAUAGAAAAAACUUCAAAUACCACCUCUGUGAUUUCGCACUUCUUCACUUUAGUACCCUGUGGUUUAAAGUGUAUCAAUUUAGUACUCCGUGGUUUUAUUUUUCUCUUUUUAUUAUCACUCUACUAAUUUUUUUAUUAAAUCAGUGAUAGAGUUAAAACUAAAAAGUGCUAAAGUGAAUAUUCGAUAAACCUAAGUGGGAUAUAUGAAGUUUUUUCUAUAUAAUUUAAUAAAAUGUUAACGGAUGAGCUAAUGAAAAGAGAAAAGUAAAAUCACAAAAUAUUAAAUUGAUAUUAUUUAAACCACAAGAUACUAAAGUAAAAAAGUGCGAAACCACAGGGUGGAUGGUAUUUGAAGUUUACCCUAAAAG